Molecule: non-coding RNA, 102 nt
Filed under: Peptoclostridium litorale
Lineage: Bacteria; Bacillati; Bacillota; Clostridia; Peptostreptococcales; Peptoclostridiaceae
Also listed under: 1 other name
Description: Clostridium litorale Guanine sequence
Rfam family: Purine riboswitch aptamer
About the family: Riboswitches are metabolite binding domains within certain messenger RNAs that serve as precision sensors for their corresponding targets. Allosteric rearrangement of mRNA structure is mediated by ligand binding, and this results in modulation of gene expression.
Source: RNAcentral
UAAAAAGCAUUUUGCUUUGCUCAUAUAAUCCCGGUAAUACGGUCUGGGAGUUUCUACAGGAAAGCCGUAAAAUUUCCUACUAUGAGCAAAACUUCUUGAAAA